Non-coding RNA from Pelodiscus sinensis (Chinese soft-shelled turtle), 254 nucleotides. Lineage: Eukaryota; Metazoa; Chordata; Testudines; Trionychidae. The record is from RefSeq and is a predicted model, not a curated record.
CAUGGAGCCAGCCACCCGCCAGCCACUCCUAGCAGCUGGAGGUUUGGGACCCGGGCUGCAGGAAUGUGGCCUACAGUGCCCAACCCUGUUAGCUUCUGACCUCGCACCAUCCCCUGGCAGGGAGUUCCACAGGUUAAUGUGGCCUGACCACAGCCUGCUGCCUUUUCAUGAGGUCUGGGCAGGGGCAGCUCUGAGACCCAGUCCCCAUCUCCAGCCCAGGCAGGACAUUACAGCCUCCAUCCUACCCACGCUGU